UUUUGAUAAAAUAAAAAAAGAACAACUCAGACUAAGAGAGAAUUAGAGCUUAUAGAAAUAGAUUUUUAUUUUACCCAUAUUCACAAUACAAUAUAUCAAAUAGAGUGACGGAUUCUUCGAGAUUUCGAUUAUUUUCUUAUUACGUCAAGAAUUUUAUUUAAUUUCUUUUAAACCACUAUAUUAUUUCUUAUAUAUAAUGCUAAAGGCUCAGAGUCUAUCCAUCUUGAACAUUUGUUACAAGGUCUCAUUUUUCAAGUUGUAAAUCAUAAUGAUAUUUCUAACCAAAAAUAAAUCAGAAGCUGUUGAACGAAGAGGAAAAAAUGGAGGGACAUCUGAAGUAGGAUCGAAAGGAGAAGAUCAAGGAGAUGAUGAAGAUAAAAAUUUUAUUUUGUUUUUUUUUUUUGUUUUUGCUUUUAUUAAAUCGAAUUGGCGACUUACCAGAAAGCAUUUGAAGGUAAAUUCCAAACUUUACUUACCAUUUAAUUCUUAUGUUAUUAAUGACUAUACAAAUAAAUCAUGUUGUGUUUGCAGGUGGUAAUCCAACCAAUCAAAAACAGGAACUAAUCCUGGUGAGCUCAAAAUUGGUCGCUUUACAACUCGGAUUCUCGGUUGAUGUCUUUGGAGCUCCUAUCUUGUGGUGAUAACGAUGUCACCCACCAUCUUGAUCUAUUUCCGCACCCCCAUGGUCUAUUAUUAAUAUUGCAAGUAUUGUUUGCCACAAGAUGCAUUGUAAAUUAUGAAGCAUAGUGAUGCAUGCUCAUUGUGCAUGAAAAUUCGAGUAAGAGCUCCGUUAAAGAUCUAAAUUGUUUUGCAGACCACUCGUUCUGGCCUUUUUUUUUUUUUUUUUUUUAAAAAAAAGGAAAGAUAUUUACUGAGUUCAAAUUAUGUUGGUAUUAUUAGAAUUAUUAAUUUUUAAAUUUUUUUCUGGGGUAUUUUUAGGAAAGGGGUUUCAUGAGGACUUACUGAAAAGUGCUAGAUGUAGCACCACUCGUAUUUUU
RNAcentral lists this long non-coding RNA (998 nucleotides) under Citrus x clementina. Its description in RNAcentral is "Citrus clementina (C. clementina) long non-coding RNA (CCLE_LNC004074)". The record is from RNAcentral. Lineage: Eukaryota; Viridiplantae; Streptophyta; Magnoliopsida; Sapindales; Rutaceae.